This is a long non-coding RNA of Crotalus tigris (Tiger rattlesnake), 1544 nucleotides long. RefSeq lists it as uncharacterized. The record is from RefSeq and is a predicted model, not a curated record. Lineage: Eukaryota; Metazoa; Chordata; Lepidosauria; Squamata; Viperidae. The transcript has 5 exons.
CUGUUAUUACCAUAAUAAAUUGGCAAUCUCCUAUUAACUAUUUGCAACUAGUGAAUGGUAUUUGAGUUCAAACACCCUGAAAACUAACCCUGAAAAAUACCAACUCGUUUCACUUUUAAUGUAGCUAAACAGAAUUAAGCUGUUAGUUCCCUUGUUCGAAUCUUGACGUCUUGGCAGCAGUCUAGCUUUGGAGUCGAACAGAGCAUGUGCUCCUUCUCUGCCAAGCUGAAGAGGGAGGGCAGGAAGUGAGGUACACUAUUUCCUGCGAGGAAUGAUGCCACUCUAGGGCAAAGCCCUCUCGUUUCAUACCCUGGAGAGGAAUCGGGGCUCGGGAAGUUCCUGUGGGAAUAAACUGGAGUGUGAUUGUAGGUUUUCUCUUUUUAAAGGAAUGCAUCCGUCUUGGUGGCUGCGAGGAAGCAAAAUCCCCAACGAUCAGAUACCCACCCCCAAAAUCAAAAUUAUCAAAAUAUAUCAAAUGUUUAUUAUAUUUGAUCGUUGGGAAUAUCAAAAACAAUGUCCCAACGAUCAAAUAAAGUUCUGGAAUCUGAUCAAACGAUCAGAUUGCAGAAUCUGAGCUUUAGGGAUUGGAUGCAGCUAGGAAGGGACAUUGUUUACCAGCAGGUGCGGUGCCAGACCCCUUGCAAGAGAAAUAAAAUUUCUCUUAUUGACUUGGGGAUGGAGAUUGCUGUUUAAGAGCUAAACCCACCACCUGCAGCUCAAGAGAGGCAAAGGGAAAUAAUUUGGAGAGCUAUUCCACAGAGAGUCAUCUCUAGAUGCACAUAAAUACAGAUACCUUUGACAUAGGAAGUAUUUGUGGAAACAAAAAUGCUUCAAAAUCAAAGAUGCCCUAUUGAAGUUUAUUCAUAUCCAUACAAUUAUGGGCCCAUAAAUUAAAGGGGUUUUGGAUGUAGCAGUUUGUAGUUCAGUUUGAAAGGCUGAGAUCCUGGACCUGGUGAUCCUGGAGCAAUUCCUGGCCAUCCUGACCCCAGGGUUGUGAAGCUGGGUGAAGGAGUGUGGAGUGGAAACCAGUUCUCAAGCAGUGGCCCUAGUUGAAGGCUGCCUCCUGAGCCAGGCUGAGGACAAGAACCAAGGAAAACUGCAGCCAUUUCCAGUGCAAGUGCCAUUGAUAGAGGUGGUUGCUGAAUGGCUCAAACCGAGUGGUGCAUCUGUCUAAAUCCUCCCAGGAGCUGCUGUUGGAGGUGAAUUCUCCAGAGGAUCAAGCUCAGGAUAUAUCACCAAAGAGUAGAACAACAUCUCUGAAUCUUCUAGAAACAUCUCCUCUUAAUUCAUGUUGAAGCAGAAACUGCAAGUACAGUCCCAGUUCAGGUGGCCCCAGACUACAUCACCAGUGAAAUAUUUCAGAUUUUCCCCAUCAGUUAAUAUUAGAGCAGCUAAGGACAGUUUUGAGCUACCUCAGAUAUCAGAACCCCUAAGAGGACUUCAAACUGUCUCAAGUGCAAGUUGGAUAAGAGAUGAAGGCAGCAUCAUGACAAUAUGACCGAAAAAAAGUAAUCAAGACAUAUUUAUGCAAUGACUUAACAGCA